GAGAACAAAGGCGUUGUUGUAGCCAUUUUGGCCAUGCUACAACGAUGCAGACAGCUCUCUUUGUCACUCCUACAACGUGCUUGUUCAAACAACACAUUUUCUUUCAGGUUUUGUGCUUUAGGCAGAGUGACAUGAUGCAGGAUGGAGUUGCGAAGAGUUCCAGGACAUGGUCAAAGAUGGCUGGAACAGUCGGAUGGAUUUGCAAUCAUGCAAUAAAGGCCCACAUGAGACGCCAUGGUCAAAUGGUUGGAGAUCGUUGAGAGUUUGCAGCUAUUGAUGAAAGUUGUUGUAAUAAUAGCAAGUAUCACCACAGAAGGGCCGGUGCAACAUGGCGACGGAAAAAGUGGGUAUUAAGAAUAUUAGGAGUAGGUGACCGCCAGAAACAUCCUGUCUUGUGGCUGGUGUGGUUAAACAAGUGCGUCCGGGAACCACCGUCAUCAGUGACCAAUGGGGCACUUACAGGAGUGCAUUGACUGCGACAGGCUACAGGCACUUCACAGUGAACCACUGUCAGUAGUUUGCGGAUCCAAACACCUUGCGCGCCUCCCAGUAUGUCAACCCCAGCUUUCUCUGUGGACCAUGCAACUUGGACUUUCCGAGUUUCAUAUAGGACAAUGCAUCUUGCUCUGCAUCUGUAAACCAUGGAUUCAUCUUUUGGACAUUUUCAGGAGAAUGGCUGUGUGUGUGUGCGUGUGUGUGCGUGUG
Long non-coding RNA from Engraulis encrasicolus (European anchovy), 705 nucleotides. RefSeq lists it as uncharacterized. The record is from RefSeq and is a predicted model, not a curated record. The transcript has 3 exons. NCBI's taxonomy places the organism in Eukaryota, Metazoa, Chordata, Actinopteri, Clupeiformes, Engraulidae.